CUUAUACUCCCUCCGUUCGGAAUUACUUGUCACAAAAAUGGAUGUAUCUACAACUAAAAUACAUCUAGAUACAUUUGUUUUUUGGACGAGUAAUUCCGAACGGAGGGAGUAUUUU
Triticum aestivum (bread wheat) is the source of this 115-nucleotide non-coding RNA. The record is from Rfam. Lineage: Eukaryota; Viridiplantae; Streptophyta; Magnoliopsida; Poales; Poaceae.